CCUACGGGUGGCAGCAGUGGGGGAUAUUGCACAAUGGGGGGAACCCUGAUGCAGCGACGCCGCGUUGGUGCAGGAGCGUUUCGGCGCGUAAAGCCCUAUCGGCAGGGAAGAAGGAGGACGGUACCUGACUAAGAAGCCCCGGCUAACUACGUGCCAGCAGCCGCGGUAAUACGUAGGGGGCAAGCGUUAUCCGGAUUUAGUGGGUUACAGGGGUGCGUAGGCGGUCCGUUAAGUCAGCGGUAAAAUUGCGGGGCUCAACCCCGUCGAGCCGUUGAAACUGGCAGACUUGAGUUGGCGAGAAGUACGCGGAAUGCGCGGUGUAGCGGUGAAAUGCAUAGAUAUCGCGCAGAACUCCGAUUGCGAAGGCAGCGUACCGGCGCCAGACUGACGCUGAGGCACGAAAGCGUGGGGAUCGAACAGGAUUAGAUACCCCUGUAGUC
Molecule: ribosomal RNA, 440 nt
Filed under: uncultured bacterium
Lineage: Bacteria
Description: partial 16S ribosomal RNA
Rfam family: Bacterial small subunit ribosomal RNA
Source: RNAcentral